Long non-coding RNA from Dermochelys coriacea (leatherback sea turtle), 467 nucleotides. RefSeq lists it as uncharacterized. NCBI's taxonomy places the organism in Eukaryota, Metazoa, Chordata, Testudines, Dermochelyidae. The transcript has 4 exons. The record is from RefSeq and is a predicted model, not a curated record.
GCAGUGGGGAAGCAACAGGCAGGGGCGUGAAGGCAAGAACCGCAGGGCAGGCGAGUUGCAUGCAAAGGGCUAAAGAGCAGGAGUGGGCUAUAGAGCUUCCAGCCCACCUCUGUACUUUAUCACACUGAAAUCUGCAGCAUUUCUAGCAUGGAAUUGUAUAUUGAGCACGGAGUAAGUGCAAAUGGCCAAUGAGUUGGGCAGACUCUGUGAAUCAAGAGUCGCAUCUGAGUUACAAUGGUGUAAAACUGGGUCUGGACCAAACCCCUAACACGAAGUUCAUCAGAAGCCAUUAAGCAUCACCUGGUUUAAAUUGCACAAAGAUUGCAAGUUCAGGAGGCUCUGAGGGCUGGUUCCAGGCCCACCCUUCUGCUGAAGAUAAGAAAACAACUGGCCUCCUUCAUAACAGUCCUAACAGAGAGACAAGAAAUGAAGAGGCUACGGAGAUGAGCUCAUCUCUCAGCCCUUGA